UGCCCCGUGGCUGAGUUGGUUACAGCGGUUGACUGUUAUUAUUACCAUGUGGUAAUUUAACUGAUCAGACGGUCGAGAGUUCGAGUCUCUCCGGGGCAG
RNAcentral lists this transfer RNA (99 nucleotides) under Cryptococcus depauperatus. Its description in RNAcentral is "tRNA-Asn". It matches the Rfam family "tRNA". Rfam says of the family: Transfer RNA (tRNA) molecules are approximately 80 nucleotides in length. Their secondary structure includes four short double-helical elements and three loops (D, anti-codon, and T loops). Lineage: Eukaryota; Fungi; Basidiomycota; Tremellomycetes; Tremellales; Cryptococcaceae. RNAcentral also lists the same sequence under 1 other name. The record is from RNAcentral.